This 622-nucleotide ribosomal RNA is filed under the name uncultured Methanosarcinaceae archaeon. RNAcentral's name for it is "bacterial SSU rRNA". It matches the Rfam family "Archaeal small subunit ribosomal RNA", at positions 85 to 703 of the family's 1478-position model. Lineage: Archaea; Methanobacteriati; Methanobacteriota; Methanomicrobia; Methanosarcinales; Methanosarcinaceae. The record is from RNAcentral.
ACGGCUCAGUAACACGUGGAUAACCUGCCCUUGGGUCCGGCAUAACCCCGGGAAACUGGGGAUAAUUCCGGAUAACGCAUAUAUGCUGGAAUGCUUUCUGCGUAAAAUGGAUUCGUCUGCCCAAGGAUGGGUCUGCGGCCUAUCAGGUAGUAGUGGGUGUAAUGUACCUACUAGCCUACGACGGGUACGGGUUGUGAGAGCAAGAGCCCGGAGAUGGAUUCUGAGACAUGAAUCCAGGCCCUACGGGGCGCAGCAGGCGCGAAAACUUUACAAUGCGGGAAACCGUGAUAAGGGGACACCGAGUGCCAGCAUCAUAUGCUGGCUGUCCGGGUGUGUAAAAUACACCUGUUAGCAAGGGCCGGGCAAGACCGGUGCCAGCCGCCGCGGUAACACCGGCGGCCCGAGUGGUGAUCGUGAUUAUUGGGUCUAAAGGGUCCGUAGCCGGUUUGGUCAGUCCUCCGGGAAAUCUGAUAGCUCAACUAUUAGGCUUUCGGAGGAUACUGCCAGACUUGGAACCGGGAGAGGGUAAGAGGUACUACAGGGGUAGGAGUGAAAUCUUGUAAUCCCUGUGGGACCACCUGGUGGCGAAGGCGUCUUACCAGAACGGGUUCGACGGUGAGGG